UUUUAUUAUGCAGUUUUAUCUUGAGUCUCUUUAAAAUUGUGCAACUCUCAACUCUCCAAACAAAUGAACAUUUCAUUGCUCUGUAUUCUAAAACAAUUUCUUAAAAACUUGCUUUCUGUCUUUUUCUCAGCUCUCUAUCUCUCAAAAGAUUAAAAAUCAGAAGGUAAAUUGCUUGUGUCCUUUUCAUGCACCCAAUUUCAGCUCAUUUUAAGUGUUUAAUUUACUUAAAUAGCCUUCAAUUCAUCUUGGAACUAUUUCGACUUAGCAAGAAAAUAUAAGAACAUAUACGAUUUACUGCCGUAAUAGCGUCUUGGAGAGGAAUAUUUACCCGCUGGAUCUGACUUGGCUGGGUAGCGGUGAACACACAUCUGGAGUCUAGACUUGGCGGCUCUGUGGGCAGGCUCGCAGCCCAGGGCUCCAUCAGCCCCAGGGCUCCAACACUCCGGCGCCCUGCUCUGUUGACAUAGCUGGUGGGCUGCCUCAUCAGUUUCAGCUGCCUGACCCCCUGGUCCCCCAGCCUCCCCCAUCCCUGCCAUAUCCCAGCUCUGUGCACUUUGGAGAGCCACCAGAGGAGCGCCUCUUCUGCUUCCUUCUGCGAGCCCCCUCUACUCAGGAUGCUUUGCUGGAGAAGAAGGGAAGGAGGAAUCCACGUUAAUGUGAAACCUGCAGACAGUGAUUCUGCUUCAGAGAUAAGGGGUUGCUUUGGAUGGGAGAGGAGCUCUGAUAAAAGCACUAAGCGUAAGAAAGAAAAAAUCUGAUGGGGUAAAACAGAUAUAUACCUUGGAAUAUAUGAUUUGGGUUUAAAUCUUAUACCCAGCUGUUACACCAGAUGUGUGGCCUGGAAAGUCUUUGAGGCUCAAAUUCAUUAUCUAUAAAUUCAGGGGAAGAGUGAUGACCGCAAUAAGUUGUUGGGCAGGAUACAAACCUGAAUAAAGACAAAAGGUCUAGUUCAAUGUCUGCCUUAAAGCGACAAAUAAAAAUCAGUUCCCUUUUUCCUGGUCAAUGUUUCAUUUACACAAGUCAGAGUGAUUCUUUGACCCAAGGCAAGCAAAACAUCCUUGAGAUUUGCUGAAAAUAGAGGGCGCUUGGGGGAAACAUUCAUGUGAAAUGAGAAGUUUUUGAAAAAGAUCCCACAGCAAUAUCUGCUUUUAGAUAGAAGGUAACAGAGACAGAGGCGAUCACAUUCUUGUGGCGGCAGCAUUUCCCAUGUGGGAUCUUGUUUUCUCUUGUCUAUUUUUAUAAAAUGAUACUAGCGUGAGGCUUUGAUAAUGGGUUGGUGACUUCUAUAGAAUGAGGCUGAGCCCCCUGGGAGUUGAGGCUCCCCUGAAACGUCAAUUUUGAGAUUUGAGAGAUUCUUAAUACACAUGCAUUGGUCUAUGCGUUAACAGCAAUGGGUUCUUAGUGUAUUUCCCUCACAAGGAGGCUAAAUCACACUGUUUACAGUUAUUUGCAUAUGUGUCUAAUCAGUUAUAUCUGCAAUAAAAUGAUACCUAAAUCAAUUUCUUGCAAAAAGAAUUAUUUGGAUGUCUACCCAGCAAACAAAAGUGUUUGAGAAAUUAUAAGUUUCUUUUGAAAGUCUAUUUUAUUAUACUGUGGUUGGCAAACCACGGCCUGCAGCCCACAGACAGAAACUGUGGAUCUGCAUCCAAGCCUGAAAUAUGUAUCCUCUGGUUCUUUACAGAAAUGUUUGUUGAUGCUUGUAAUUGUAUAAAUAAAUAACAAUAAAAAGUGUAGUUUUCUCUUUUAAAAUUGGGAAUACCUGUUGGUACUGUGUGACCAUGGUAUUUUCUGGUUUACAAUCCAUCCUGCAUGCUCAUUUUACUACAGUAUUAUGAGUGUGUGGGGGCUGCUGUGACAGAACACCAAUAGACUGCCUGAUGGCUUAAGCAGCAAACGUGUAUUUCUCACAGUUCUGGAGGCUGGACAGU
RNAcentral lists this long non-coding RNA (1928 nucleotides) under Homo sapiens (human). Its description in RNAcentral is "HSALNT0300251". The record is from RNAcentral. Lineage: Eukaryota; Metazoa; Chordata; Mammalia; Primates; Hominidae.